RNAcentral lists this unclassified non-coding RNA (214 nucleotides) under Melitaea cinxia (Glanville fritillary). Its description in RNAcentral is "misc RNA ENSMCXG00005014445.1". Lineage: Eukaryota; Metazoa; Arthropoda; Insecta; Lepidoptera; Nymphalidae. The record is from RNAcentral.
UUACAGAAGAUCACAGCAAAAUAAUACUGUUUUCAAGCAGUAUUGUGUUCCUGUUGGUGAGUAAGGUGACCAGAGCUCCUGUGGGGAUUGGGGAUUGGGUCGGCAACGCGCUUGCGAUGCUUCUAGUGUUGCAGGUGUCUAUAAGCUACGGUAAUCGCUUACCAUCAGGUGAGCCGUACACUUGUUUGCCGACCUAGUGACAUAAAAAAAAAAA